AUGAUUCACAUCCACUAAACUUGUCUCACAUAAUUGUCUGGAACGUUAAUCUAGGAAGUUGGAUUUAUGUGCGAAUAUUUUCAUCUUUUUUGUACUGCUAAUGGUAUGCCUAGUGCAUUUGCUUUGCCAUAGUGCUAUGAUUACUUGUUUUCACUCAUGUUUAGAGCUAAUGCUGUUACUUGCACUUCCAGCUAAAUAUAAUAUCUCCUAUGUAGUUGUCACCAGUGAACUCUGUAUAGAAGAUGGUCUAUUCUUUUUUCUUUUGACCUGGAGAUUGAUGGUCCAUUCUCCUUAUACUAGUGAUGUGUUUGAAUUCGGAAAGCUGGUCAGUUUGAUCUUUUUCGACCACUAGAGCUACUGGACAUUAAAUGCUUGAUGAUAUCCUUGUGAUAGUACAGCAGAUGGUUUUCACAAUUCAGAGUAGGCAUGAUCAAAAUAUUUAAGUUUCGUGUCUAGAGAAAGUUGAGCCAUUUUCUGAAUGCAUUACUUUCUAGGACAACAUUAUCUUGUAUCAUUGUGUAUUUGAUGCUUCAUGGCUGCGUGUAUAGCCUUGUCGUGUUUUUUUUGGGUCAGAGAUGGUCAAGCUCAAAGCUAGGCCAGCAGGCUGCAUCUUAUUAAUCUCAUUGCCUUUACUUUCUUCUAUUUUGAAUUAUAUUUAUGUAGGCUAAUAUGAUCCAUGUCCACUACAGCCGAAAUUGCGGUUGGAGCUGUUGCUACUGGCGUCUUCUGGCAACCAUGAGCUACUGCAUGAUUCAGACAUAUUUUUCAGGGUGCCCAUGCUGCAGGUGUGCCUCAAGGCCUGGCCCGCUGAAUACGAUCGAGGAUAGAAUCGGCUGGCGGCGAGCAUGGCCCUUGGGUCCCUUUCUGGUUCUUGUCGGCUCCUGGAGACACGCAAUAGUUGUCCAGCUUGGGGAAGAAGUGAUGGGGGCUUCAGGUGCAUGUUUUCGGGUACCCAGGUGGUGCCCAGUCCACCUCAUACCAGUGUAACCCAAGUGUGGAUGGCGGCAUUAGAGAGAACCCAAUACAUUGACCUCCUAUUGUGAUGAGUGGCCAUCUUGCAUGCUCAUUUGGUA
Long non-coding RNA from Lolium rigidum, 1073 nucleotides. RefSeq lists it as uncharacterized. The record is from RefSeq and is a predicted model, not a curated record. The transcript has 3 exons. Lineage: Eukaryota; Viridiplantae; Streptophyta; Magnoliopsida; Poales; Poaceae.